Molecule: ribosomal RNA, 632 nt
Filed under: uncultured marine bacterium
Lineage: Bacteria
Description: bacterial SSU rRNA
Rfam family: Bacterial small subunit ribosomal RNA
Source: RNAcentral
AGAGUUUGAUCCUGGCUCAGGACGAACGCUGGCGGCGUGCCUAAUACAUGCAAGUCGAGCGGAUUGAUGGGAGCUUGCUCCCUGAUAUCAGCGGCGGACGGGUGAGUAACACGUGGGUAACCUGCCUGUAAGACUGGGAUAACUCCGGGAAACCGGGGCUAAUACCGGAUAACUCAUUUCCUCGCAUGAGGAAAUGUUGAAAGGUGGCUUUUAGCUACCACUUACAGAUGGACCCGCGGCGCAUUAGCUAGUUGGUGAGGUAACGGCUCACCAAGGCGACAAUGCGUAGCCGACCUGAGAGGGUGAUCGGCCACACUGGGACUGAGACACGGCCCAGACUCCUACGGGAGGCAGCAGUAGGGAAUCUUCCGCAAUGGACGAAAGUCUGACGGAGCAACGCCGCGUGAGUGAUGAAGGUUUUCGGAUCGUAAAGCUCUGUUGUUAGGGAAGAACAAGUGCCGUUCGAAUAGGGCGGCACCUUGACGGUACCUAACCAGAAAGCCACGGCUAACUACGUGCCAGCAGCCGCGGUAAUACGUAGGUGGCAAGCGUUGUCCGGAAUUAUUGGGCGUAAAGCGCGCGCAGGUGGUUUCUUAAGUCUGAUGUGAAAGCCCACGGCUCAACCGUGGAGG